CAAAAAAAAAAAAAAAUCCCAAAAACCUUAAUUUUUUCAAAUCAGAAAAAAAAAACAACCUUAUUAUUUGCAAAUUCAUUUGAAAAAACAUAAGGAAAAAGAAAAUCCAAUGUCGUCUGAAUCCAUACUCUCGGUCUUAACGGAGGAUUUACUUGUUCGAAUCAAUGACAAACUCAAUGACGAGUUAGAUCGCAAAACGUGGCGACUCGUUUGCAAAGAAUUCCUUCGAGUCGAAUCACUAGCUCGUAAAACUCUCCGAGUGCUCCGCGUCGAGUACUUAUCAGUUCUUCUUCGUAAGUACAGUAACAUUGAUACCCUGGACCUCUCCGUGUGUCCAUGUAUUGACGACGGGACGGUGUCUCUGCUGCUGAGUGGUGAGUCAGAGGGAUGGGCGCUGUGGAAGCUGAAAUCUUUGAACCUGGGUAGAGCCACCGGCUUGAAAUUCUCAGCGAUGGAGAUGCUGAUACGGGCUUGCCCGUUUCUGGAACGGCUCGAUGUGUCGUACUGUUGCGGGUUCGGAGACAGGGAGGCGGCGGCAAUAUCGUGUGCUGGAGGUUUGAGGGAGCUGAAGAUGGAUAAGUGCUUGGGAGUCAGUGAUGUUGGGUUGGCGAAGAUAGCUGUGCGGUGUGGAAGAUUGGAGAGGCUAAGCUUGAAGUGGUGCAUGGAGAUAUCUGAUCUGGGUAUUGAUCUUUUGUGUAAGAAGUGCCCCGAAUUAAAGCAUCUUGAUGUGUCUUAUCUCAAGUGAAAUUUGAUACGUGUGUGGGAUCACUUCAGGUGACGAGUGAAUCCCUUCGUUCUAUUGCCUCUUUGCCAAAGCUGGAGGUUUUGGCUAUGGUGGCAUGCCCUUUGGUGGAUGAUUUUGGAUUGCAGUUUCUGGAAAAUGCUUGUCCUUUGCUACAGGAAAUUGAUGUGUCAAGGUGUGAUUGUUUGAGUUCGUCCAGCUUAAUUUCCGUAAUUAGAGGACAUAGCGGACUUAGGCAGAUAAGCGCUGCUUACUGCUUUUCUGAGCUUUCCCCUGCUGUCCUCCACUACUUGAAGGAUUUGAAGAAUAUGAGCACGAUUAUAAUUAAUGGGGCUUGUGUUUCAGACACUGUUUUCAUGACUAUGAGUAGAUAUUGCAGGUCUUUGGCUGAAAUUGGGUUGAGCAAAUGCAUAGGGGUGACCAACAUGGGCAUUAUUCAGCUUGUCUCUGGCUGUAUCAAUUUGAAGAUCCUCAGUUUAAUAUGCUGUCAUUCCAUAACUGAUGCUGCAAUUUCUGCUAUAGCAGACUCUUGUAGGAACCUUGUGUGCCUGAAGUUAGAGUCUUGUAAUAUGAUCACUGAGAAGGGUGUUGAACAGCUUGGAUCACAUUGCUCGCUGCUUGAGGAGCUUGAUCUCACUGAUUGUUCUGGCAUAAAUGACAGAGGGCUUGAAUGCCUCUCCAGAUGUUCAAGACUUGUAUGCUUGAAAUUAGGACUUUGCGCAAACAUAUCAGACAAAGGACUGUUUUAUAUUGCUUCUGAUUGUUCAAAGCUUCAUGAACUGGAUCUAUACCGUACUGGUAUUGGAGAUGAUGGUUUAGCUGCUUUAUCGAGUGGUUGCAAGAAGUUGAAAAAGCUCAACUUGUCAUACUGCAAUAAUAUUACUGAUAGAGGGAUAAAAUUACUUGGCUAUCUGGAGGAGCUAUCUGAUGUGGAAUUGAGAGGACUUGGCAAAAUCACAAGUGUAGGUUUGACAGCCUUUGCAGCCAAGUGUAAGACACUAGCAGAUUUGGACUUGAAGCAUUGUUGGAAUAUUGAUGAUAAGGGAUUCUGGGCACUUGCCUAUUACUCACAGAACCUGCGUCAGAUAAACUUGAGCUACUGCAAUAUAUCGGACAUGGCAUUAUGCAUGAUGAUGGGAAAUCUGACACGAUUGCAAGAUGCAAAACUGGUGCUUCUUAAAAAUGUCACUGUGGCAGGGUUUGAGCUUGCACUUAGGGCUUGCUGUGUCCGUAUCAAAAAGGUUAAGUUAAAUGCCGCUCUCAGGUUCAUGUUAACUGAGGAAAUACUUGGGAUUUUACAUGCCAGGGGUUGCAUAAUCAGAUGGGAUUAGAACCACAUGUACUGGCCUACUGGGAGAUAAUAAACACCCACGGCCUGGGACUUACUUUAAAAAUCCAAUGAAGCUUUCAAUGAGUUCUUCCCUAAUUUAUGAUUUAUCUUCUACUCCCUUGAUCUUUCUCUUCUCACUAACUGCCAGCAGAAUUCUAUGCACCUUUUCUUCUGCUUGUCCUUCUCUUGAACACUGCCAAAGGACUUAUAUUUACUUAUAUUUUAAUAUAGUAUGAUAAAUCCAUCAAGAUUGGUUCAUUGCCUUAAGAAUAAGGUUGGUUCAUAAUCUAUGAAUUGGCCAUGCAAAUUAAAUUAUCAUUUUGUGCAAGACUUUGUAACAAGUUGAAGUUGAUGGAAG
This 2430-nucleotide unclassified non-coding RNA is filed under the name Hevea brasiliensis (rubber tree). Lineage: Eukaryota; Viridiplantae; Streptophyta; Magnoliopsida; Malpighiales; Euphorbiaceae. The record is from RNAcentral.